RNAcentral lists this ribosomal RNA (499 nucleotides) under Vibrio alfacsensis. RNAcentral's name for it is "bacterial SSU rRNA". It matches the Rfam family "Bacterial small subunit ribosomal RNA", at positions 82 to 577 of the family's 1533-position model. Lineage: Bacteria; Pseudomonadati; Pseudomonadota; Gammaproteobacteria; Vibrionales; Vibrionaceae. The record is from RNAcentral.
UGUUGGGCGGCGAGCGGCGGACGGGUGAGUAAUGCCUAGGAAAUUGCCCUGAUGUGGGGGAUAACCAUUGGAAACGAUGGCUAAUACCGCAUGAUGCCUACGGGCCAAAGAGGGGGACCUUCGGGCCUCUCGCGUCAGGAUAUGCCUAGGUGGGAUUAGCUAGUUGGUGAGGUAAGGGCUCACCAAGGCGACGAUCCCUAGCUGGUCUGAGAGGAUGAUCAGCCACACUGGAACUGAGACACGGUCCAGACUCCUACGGGAGGCAGCAGUGGGGAAUAUUGCACAAUGGGCGCAAGCCUGAUGCAGCCAUGCCGCGUGUGUGAAGAAGGCCUUCGGGUUGUAAAGCACUUUCAGUAGGGAGGAAGGUUCAUGCGUUAAUAGCGUAUGGAUUUGACGUUACCUACAGAAGAAGCACCGGCUAACUCCGUGCCAGCAGCCGCGGUAAUACGGAGGGUGCGAGCGUUAAUCGGAAUUACUGGGCGUAAAGCGCAUGCAGGUG